This 243-nucleotide long non-coding RNA is filed under the name Elaeis guineensis (African oil palm). RNAcentral's name for it is "long non-coding RNA (EGUI_LNC041107)". Lineage: Eukaryota; Viridiplantae; Streptophyta; Magnoliopsida; Arecales; Arecaceae. The record is from RNAcentral.
GGGGAUCCGACUUUAGUCCCUUUUUUAUCGGAUUUUUCCUUCAACUGAUAUCAGAACAUGGUAUCAGAUCUGAAUACAAACAAAGUUUGGUUAAAAAAUCUAGUUCUAUUCAUAUUUUUUUUAGAAUUUCUGAUCUGGUUUUUGACCAGAUUUUUUUAUAUGAAAUUGAAUCAAGUUCCAUCCUGAUUUUUGAAAAAUUCUGAUCUGGUUUGACCAGAUUUUCAUGUAUAAAAUCGUGAUCUG